This 1490-nucleotide ribosomal RNA is filed under the name uncultured Glomeromycotina. RNAcentral's name for it is "eukaryotic LSU rRNA". The stretch from base 649 to 1490 matches the Rfam family "Eukaryotic large subunit ribosomal RNA", at positions 1 to 694 of the family's 3401-position model. Lineage: Eukaryota; Fungi; Glomeromycota. The record is from RNAcentral.
UUCGCUCUUCAACGAGGAAUCCCUAGUAAGCAUGAGUCAUCAGCUCAUGCUGAUUACGUCCCUGCCCUUUGUACACACCGCCCGUCGCUACUACCGAUUGAAUGGCUUAGUGAGACCCUCGGAUCGACUCGCGGAAGCCUUAACCGGCAUCCGUUUGUUGAGAAGUUGGUCAAACUUGGUCAUUUAGAGGAAGUAAAAGUCGUAACAAGGUUUCCGUAGGUGAACCUGCGGAAGGAUCAUUAAAAAAAAUGGGGUAUUUAUACCUCUUGUAUUUAAAACAACUCUUUAAUAACCAUUUUUUAAAUAAAAAUAAAAACUUUCAACAACGGAUCUCUUGGCUCUCGCAUCGAUGAAGAACGCAGCGAAAUGCGAAAAGUAAUAUGAAUUGCAGAAUUCCGUGAAUCAUCAAAUCUUUGAACGCAAAUUGCACUCCUUGGUAUUCCGAGGAGUACACUUGCUUGAGGGUCAGUUAAUAAACAUCGUACCAUCUUUUGGUGUUGCGGAUCUGGGUUAUCCGGUUUUAAGUCGGUUACCUAAAAUUAUUAAUUAUUGUAAUGUGAUACGUACUAAGAGAGUCGUUAAUCAUUAAAACUUAAUAUAUAUUACCUCUAAUUCUUUUUUAUUGGUAAAGUAUAUAAUUUUUGAGAAUGACAUCAAGUCAAGUGAGAGUACCCGCUGAACUUAAGCAUAUCAAUAAGCGGAGGAAAAGAAACUAACAAGGAUUCCCCUAGUAACGGCGAGCGAAGCGGGAAGAGCACAAUUUUUAAAUCUAACUGGUUUUCCAGGUAGAGUUGUAAUUUGAAGUAAUGUUUUUAAUGUUCCAGGUUGGUUUAAAUCCUUUGGGAUAAGGUAUCAUGGAGGGUGAGAAUCCCGUGUAUAUCAACCGCUGGGAUGUUAUAAAUACAUUCUCUAAGAGUCGAGUUGUUUGGGAAUGCAGCUCUAAAUGGGUGGUAAAUUUCACCUAAUGCUAAAUAUAAGCGAGAGACCGAUAGCGAACAAGUACCGUGAGGGAAAGAUGAAAAGAACUUUGAAAAGAGAGUUAAAUAGUAUGUGAAAUUGUUGAAAGGGAAACGAUUGAAGUCAGUCGUGCUGGCGCGAAAUCAGCUUGACCACUAGGUGAUCACAGGCCGUAGCGAGCCUCAAAACCGCUACGACUUGUGAUUGCUUAGUGGCCUGGUGCACUUUCGUGUCGGCUGGUUAACAUCAAUUUCGAUCGUCAUAAAAAGGCUGGAGGGAUGUGGCUCCUCCGGGGAGUGUUAUAACCUUUAGCGGAAUGUGGUGAUCGGGAUUGAGGUUUGCAACGAAUACCUUCAGGGCUGUUCCACCUGGCUUCUCAUCGGCAUCCUGGCGGCGACAGCUUGCUGACGUCGUUAGGAUCAGCCUUCGAACAGGCUAGAGUGUGAGCAAAUUCGUUAAGGAUGUUAACGUAAUGGCUUUAAACGACCCGUCUUGAAACACGGACCAAGGAGUCUAACAUAUAUGCGAGUGUU